This 482-nucleotide ribosomal RNA is filed under the name uncultured bacterium. Its description in RNAcentral is "bacterial SSU rRNA". It matches the Rfam family "Bacterial small subunit ribosomal RNA", at positions 777 to 1210 of the family's 1533-position model. The record is from RNAcentral.
AAUAGAUACCCCGGUAGUCCAUGCCGUAAACGAUGUCUACUAGCCGUUGGGGCCUUUGAGGCUUUAGUGGCGCAGCUAACGCGAUAAGUAGACCGCCUGGGGAGUACGGUCGCAAGACUAAAACUCAAAUGAAUUGACGGGGGCCCGCACAAGCGGUGGAGCAUGUGGUUUAAUUCGAUGCAACGCGAAGAACCUUACCUGGUCCUUGACAUACUAAGAACUUUCCAGAGAUGGAUCGGUGUCCGUUACGGUAACUUAGAUACGUACGGUGUCGUGCGUAGUGGUCUGUCGUCACGUCUCGUGUCGUGAGUAGUUGUUACGGUUAACGUACCGACGNNNNNNNNNAACCGGAGUCCGUCAACCCCUUUUUCCUACCUUGCCCUAGUCAUUUCGGAAUUGGGAAACUUUUAAGGAUACUGUCCAGUGACGAAACGUGGAGGAAGGCGGGGACGACGGUCAAGUCAUCAUGGCCCUUACGGCCG